CGAACGGGUGAGUAACGCGUAAACAACCUGCCCAACGGAUGGGGACAACAGACGGAAACGACUGCUAAUACCCAAUAGACUCCGGUUUCGCAUGAAACCGACAGGAAAGGUGGCCUCUCGAAGAAGCUACCGCCGCAGGAGGGGUUUGCGUUUGAUUAGUUAGUUGGUGGGGUAACGGCCUACCAAGACGAUGAUCAAUAGCCGGUCUGAGAGGAUGAACGGCCACACUGGAACUGAGACACGGUCCAG
This 249-nucleotide ribosomal RNA is filed under the name uncultured Veillonellaceae bacterium. RNAcentral describes it as "partial 16S ribosomal RNA". It matches the Rfam family "Bacterial small subunit ribosomal RNA", at positions 99 to 334 of the family's 1533-position model. Lineage: Bacteria; Bacillati; Bacillota; Negativicutes; Veillonellales; Veillonellaceae. The record is from RNAcentral.